Molecule: unclassified non-coding RNA, 730 nt
Filed under: Espeletia ulotricha
Lineage: Eukaryota; Viridiplantae; Streptophyta; Magnoliopsida; Asterales; Asteraceae
Description: partial external transcribed spacer
Source: RNAcentral
CAGGCCUCCCUCUGCUUGGUUCCAGUCGUGGGCAUGAGUGAGGGUCGAUGCUUGAUGGCUUUGAUGCCAUCGGUGGGAAUGUAUUUAAGCAUCGGCCUUCCCUCAUGCCCACGAUGGUCUACAGUCUUGGGUAUGAGUCAGUGACGAUGCUUGUUUGUUUAGAUGCUUGUGUUGGAACUUGCUUUCAACCUAGUAGGGACGUGUCCCUGCGCCCAACGACAAUUUUUGUCGGGAUCGUGGCAAGUCUGCGAUCCAGGGGGUGAUGUUGAGAGCCGGAAGGCAAGGGGGUGCAAACACCAGUCGGCCUUUGUCCCGAUUGCUGAGUGUUAUGUGCUUGAUGUCCAAGGCUUGAUGCUGAUCUUCCAAGUGGGGCUUGUCCCUGCACCAAUGGCUAUUGCCAGGAUCAUGGCGUUUGCUAUGAUCGAAAAAAUGAGGGGGUGAUGUUGAGAGCCGGAAGGCAAGGGGGUGCAAACACCAGUCGGCCUUUGUCCCGAUUGCUGAGUGUUAUGUGCUUGACGUCCAAGGCUUGAUGUUGACCCUCCAAGUGGGGCUUUUUUGUUCCUGCGGUAACGACUUUGUUGGGAUCAUUGUGAUCAAGUUUGGUUGGUUUCGUAUUGUGGUGGGUUUUUUCGAAGCUUCUAUCGUUGUUUUACGCAUCGUGCGGUGCAUCUUGGGGGCUGUUUUGGCUUUUGGUUGCUUGCUUGGGCUUUAUGCUAGGCGGGUGGCUAAU